GACGAACGCUGGCGGCGUGCUUAACACAUGCAAGUCGAACGGAGAGGCCCUGCUUUUGUGGGGUGCUAGUGUCGAACGCGGGAGUAUAACACGAGCGUAACCUGCCCUAGACUUUGGUAACUAUCAGGAAAGUUGGGUAAUACUCGGUAUGGGGCACCUGGUGCUCGCUGGGGGUUGGAAAGUUUUGUCGGUUGCGGAUCGGCUCGCGGCCUAUCAGCUUGUUGGUGGGGUAGUGGCUUACCAAGGCUUGGACGGGUAGCCGGCCUGAGAGGGUGACCGGCCAAAUGGGGCCUGAGACACGGCCCAGACUCCUACGGGGGCAGCAGUGGGGAAUAUUGCACAAUGGGCGGAAGCCUGAUGCAGCAACGCCGCGUGCGGGAUGACGGCCUUCGGGUUGUAAACCGCUUUCGCCUGUGACGAAGCGUGAGUGACGGUAAUGGGUAAAGAAGCACCGGCUAACUACGUG
Molecule: ribosomal RNA, 466 nt
Filed under: uncultured bacterium
Lineage: Bacteria
Description: partial 16S ribosomal RNA
Rfam family: Bacterial small subunit ribosomal RNA
Source: RNAcentral